UACGGAGGGAGCUAGCGUUGUUCGGAAUUACUGGGCGUAAAGCGCGCGUAGGCGGCUUUGUAAGUUAGAGGUGAAAGCCCGGGGCUCAACCCCGGAACUGCCUUUAAGACUGCAUCGCUUGAAUCCGGGAGAGGUGAGUGGAAUUCCGAGUGUAGAGGUGAAAUUCGUAGAUAUUCGGAAGAACACCAGUGGCGAAGGCGGCUCACUGGACCGGUAUUGACGCUGAGACGCGAAAGCGUGGGGAGCGAACAGG
This 253-nucleotide ribosomal RNA is filed under the name uncultured bacterium. RNAcentral describes it as "partial 16S ribosomal RNA". It matches the Rfam family "Bacterial small subunit ribosomal RNA", at positions 524 to 776 of the family's 1533-position model. The record is from RNAcentral.